CUACGGGUGGCUGCAGUGAGGAAUAUUGCACAAUGGGGGGAACCCUGAUGCAGCAACGCCGCGUGGAGGAUGACGCAUUUCGGUGUGUAAACUCCUUUUAUAUGUCAAGAAAAUGACGGUAGCAUAUGAAUAAGCACCGGCUAACUCCGUGCCAGCAGCCGCGGUAAUACGGAGGGUGCAAGCGUUACUCGGAAUCACUGGGCGUAAAGGACGCGUAGGCGGGUUGGAAAGUCAGGUGUGAAAUCCUACAGCUUAACUGUAGAACUGCACUUGAAACUUCUAAUCCAGGGUAUGGGAGGGGGAGAUGGAAUUAGUGGUGUAGGGGUAAAAUCCGUAGAUAUCACUAGGAAUACCUAAAGCGAAGGCGAUCUCCUGGAACAUUACUGACGCUAAGGCGUGAAAGCGUGGGGAGCAAACAGGAUUAGAUACCCCGGUAGUC
Molecule: ribosomal RNA, 439 nt
Filed under: uncultured bacterium
Lineage: Bacteria
Description: partial 16S ribosomal RNA
Rfam family: Bacterial small subunit ribosomal RNA
Source: RNAcentral